Molecule: long non-coding RNA, 715 nt
Organism: Oryzias latipes (Japanese medaka)
Lineage: Eukaryota; Metazoa; Chordata; Actinopteri; Beloniformes; Adrianichthyidae
Source: RefSeq, a predicted model, not a curated record
UGUUCAAGUUGUAGCCGUAUGAAAAAAUACUCUCAAAGACUAUGAAAAACGUAUUUUCUGAGCUUAACCUGCACAUCGAUAAGUGUUGUUAAACAUAAUAGCUCAACAAUAUUUUGUGAAUACUGAAGGUAUUCGAGACAUUUCCAAAAGAGGAAAAAUUGAACUAAGCCUAUAUCAAUAAAAUUUGGACUUGUGUGUUUUCCAUGUGGGCAUCGGUAGGUUAAUGUUUCAGUCCGAUCCAUCCUGUUUUCUUUGUAGUGAUUUGGCAACAAUUCAUUUGACUUCAUUUGAAUCUGAUGAGCUUUGUCCAGCUGCCAAUAGAGCUUUUUUUGCAGCUGGGGGCUUGCUUUGAGGAGGAAGAAAGGCUUCCAUGUCCAAAGUUGGUGACGACUUAGCAUAGUCAUGACACGUGGCGGUCCUCAAUACGGUAGCUUUUUCUCCCGCGACUGGACAUUAAGAAGCUCAGAAGGGAAGUACCUAAGCAGACGCCAUCUUGGCUAGCCUCCCGUCCACUUGACCUCCUGGAUACAAGAAGUGCUCCUAAGAAACCAGGAAGUAAACAAAUAAAACACUGAGAAAAACCAAAAAGUAGAAACCAAUCGAAGUGAAUUGCAAUAACCGUUGGAACCUUACAGCUGGACAGUGUGUACACCCAAUGACGCUAUCAGAAAGAAAUCCACUUUAUUUAGCCCUCACACCGUGACAGAGCACGUGU